UGGGGAAUAUUGGACAAUGGGCGCAAGCCUGAUCCAGCCAUGCCGCGUGAGUGAUGAAGGCCCUAGGGUUGUAAAGCUCUUUCAGCGAGGAGGAUAAUGACGUUACUCGCAGAAGAAGCCCCGGCUAACUUCGUGCCAGCAGCCGCGGUAAUACGAAGGGGGCUAGCGUUGUUCGGAAUCACUGGGCGUAAAGCGCACGUAGGCGGACUUUUAAGUCAGGGGUGAAAUCCCGGGGCUCAACCUCGGAACUGCCUUUGAUACUGGAAGUCUGGAGUCCGAGAGAGGUGAGUGGAACUCCGAGUGUAGAGGUGAAAUUCGUAGAUAUUCGGAAGAACACCAGUGGCGAAGGCGGCUCACUGGCUCGGUACUGACGCUGAGGUGCGAAAAGCGUGGGGAGCAAAACAGGAUUAGAUACCCUGGUAGUCCACGCCGUAAAACGAUGGAAGCUAGCCGUCAGGGUGCAUGCAUCUUGGUGGCGCAGUUAACGCAUUAAGCUUCCCGCCUGGGGAGUACGGUCGCAAGAUUAAAAACUCAAAUGAAUUGACGAGGUCAUAGCUGUUUCCU
RNAcentral lists this ribosomal RNA (564 nucleotides) under uncultured bacterium. RNAcentral describes it as "partial 16S ribosomal RNA". It matches the Rfam family "Bacterial small subunit ribosomal RNA", at positions 355 to 1375 of the family's 1533-position model. The record is from RNAcentral.